Non-coding RNA from Ornithorhynchus anatinus (platypus), 139 nucleotides. Lineage: Eukaryota; Metazoa; Chordata; Mammalia; Monotremata; Ornithorhynchidae. The record is from Rfam.
CACCUCUGAGGAUGGGCACCUGGAGAGUUUCCAGUAGUCUACCAGUCUCGACUAUGGGAGGGAGAGUCAAGCAGAGGCCUACUCAUUCCGUUCCUAGCUCAGGCAGUGGCUAGCGAGUGGAAGGCAAUCUGCUACAAGU